GCUUACGGCCACCCACCUGAGCGCGCCCGAUCUCGUCUGAUCUCGGAAGCUAAGCAGGGUCGGGCCUGGUUAGUACUUGGAUGGGAGACCGCCUGGGAAUACCAGGUGCCGUAAGCU
RNAcentral lists this ribosomal RNA (117 nucleotides) under Lates calcarifer (barramundi perch). The record is from RNAcentral. Lineage: Eukaryota; Metazoa; Chordata; Actinopteri; Centropomidae.